GACGAACGCUGGCGGCGUGCUUAACACAUGCCAGUCGAACGGAAAGGCCCCUUUGGGGGUACUCGAGUGGCGAACGGGUGAGUAACACGUGAGUAACCUGCCCUUGACUUCGGGAUAACUUCAGGAAACUGGGGCUAAUACCGGAUAGGAAUCCUUGCUGCAUGGUGGGGGUUGGAAAGCUUCGGCGGUUUUGGAUGGACUCGCGGCUUAUCAGCUUGUUGGUGGGGUAGUGGCUUACCAAGGCUUUGACGGGUGGCCGGCCUGAGAGGGCGACCGGCCACAUUGGGACUGAGAUACGGCCCAGACUCCUACGGGAGGCAGCAGUGGGGAAUAUUGCACAAUGGGCGGAAGCCUGAUGCAGCAACGCCGCGUGCGGGAUGACGGCCUUCGGGUUGUAAACCGCUUUCAGCAGGGGCGAAGCUUGUGGUGACGGUACCUGCAGAAGAAGCACCGGCUAACUACGUG
RNAcentral lists this ribosomal RNA (465 nucleotides) under uncultured bacterium. RNAcentral's name for it is "partial 16S ribosomal RNA". It matches the Rfam family "Bacterial small subunit ribosomal RNA", at positions 28 to 507 of the family's 1533-position model. The record is from RNAcentral.